AAGGAAUAUUGGACAAUGGGCGGAAGCCUGAUCCAGCCAUGCCGCGUGAAGGAAGAAUGCGCUCAGCGUUGUAAACUUCUUUUGAAUGGGAACAAUAAUCCCGACGUGUCGGGACUUGAGGGUACCAUUAGAAUAAGCACCGGCUAACUCCGUGCCAGCAGCCGCGGUAAUACGGAGGGUGCAAGCGUUAUCCGGAAUCACUGGGUUUAAAGGGUGCGUAGGCGGUUUGAUAAGUCAGUUGUGAAAUUCACCGGCUUAACCGGUAGAACUGCGAUUGAUACUGUCAGACUUGAAUCAGGUUGAGGUAGGCGGAAUGUGGCAUGUAGCGGUGAAAUGCAUAGAUAUGCCAUAGAACACCGAUUGCGAAGGCAGCUUGCUGGACCUAGAUUGACGCUGAGGCACGAAAGCGUGGGGAGCAAAC
Molecule: ribosomal RNA, 421 nt
Filed under: uncultured bacterium
Lineage: Bacteria
Description: bacterial SSU rRNA
Rfam family: Bacterial small subunit ribosomal RNA
Source: RNAcentral